This 425-nucleotide ribosomal RNA is filed under the name uncultured bacterium. Its description in RNAcentral is "bacterial SSU rRNA". It matches the Rfam family "Bacterial small subunit ribosomal RNA", at positions 356 to 773 of the family's 1533-position model. The record is from RNAcentral.
GGGGAAUUUUGGACAAUGGGCGCAAGCCUGAUCCAGCAAUGCCGCGUGAGUGAAGAAGGCCUUCGGGUUGUAAAGCUCUUUCAGUUGAGAAGAAAAGAUUGUGACUAAUAAUCGCAAUUCAUGACAGUAUCAACAGAAGAAGCACCGGCUAACUACGUGCCAGCAGCCGCGGUAAUACGUAGGGUGCAAGCGUUAAUCGGAAUUAUUGGGCGUAAAGGGUGCGCAGGCGGUUUUGUAAGUCAGAUGUGAAAUCCCCGGGCUUAACCUGGGAAUUGCGUUUGAAACUACAAGACUAGAGUGUGGCAGAGGGGGGUGGAAUUCCAUGUGUAGCAGUGAAAUGCGUAGAGAUGUGGAAGAACAUCGAUGGCGAAGGCAACCCCCUGGGUUAACACUGACGCUCAGGCACGAAAGCGUGGGGAGCAAAC